Molecule: long non-coding RNA, 1054 nt
Filed under: Homo sapiens (human)
Lineage: Eukaryota; Metazoa; Chordata; Mammalia; Primates; Hominidae
Description: non-protein coding lnc-NEURL1B-3:10
Source: RNAcentral
GCUGCCCAUGGCUGGGACCACUGCCUCCAUUCCCAACACCCUGCUGGGGACCCCGCCUUCCAAAGAACAUGCCCCAGGCACACAGGUGAGCUCCCGCCAUGCACUCCCCGUGAAAGGGAAGCCGUCUGGAGGCAGUGUGGCACCUGAAGACGCUGGAGCUGCUGCUGUCAGGGACACACGCCCUGCCCAUUCAUCUGCCUUCUGCGCCGGGAGCCCCCGCAGAUGCGGAAGAUGCAGGGAAUGAUUCAGCCCCAGCCUUAAUGGUGAAAUUAGACCCAUUACAUCUUCUGGAGAAACUGGAAGGGGCUUGCAGUAGGUUGAAUGGUGGCCGCCCCAGAAGAUAUGUCCUUGGAACCUGCUAAUGAAACCUUACUUGAAAAAGGCAUCUUUGGGCCGGGCACAGUGGCUCACACCUGUAAUCCCAGCACUUUGCGAGGCCAAGGCCAGUGGAUCACCUGAAGUCAGGAGUUCAAGACCAGCCUGGCCAACAUGGCGAAAUCCCAUCUCUACUAAAAAUACAAAAAGUAUCUGGGUGUGGUGGUGGGUGCCUGUAACCCCAUCUACUCGGGAGCCUGAGGAAGGAGAAUAACUUGAACCUGGGAGGCAGAGGUUGCAGUGAGCCGAGGUCGCGCCACUGCACCCCAGCCUGGGCGACAGAGCGAGACUCCGUCUCAAAAAAAAAAAAAAAAAAAAAAAAAAAAAAAAAAAAAAAAAAAAGAGAGAGAGAGAAAGGCAUCUUUGUCAAUGUAUUUAAGUUAAGGAUCUUGAGAUGAGAUUAUCCUGGAUUGUCCAGUUAACCCUGAAUCCAGUGACAAGUGUCUUUAAAAGAGAUACACAGAGGAGAAGACAGACACAAAGAGAGAAGGUGAUGUGAAGAUGGGGGCAGAGAUUGGAGGGACGCAGCUACAAGCCAAGAAAACCAAGGAUUGCUGGCAGCCACCAGAGGCUGGGAGAGAGGCCUGGGUUGAGACGGCCUCAGAGCCUCCAGAGGGAGCCUGGUCCUGCUGACACCUCAGUUUUGGAGUUCUGACCUCCAGAACUAUGAGAAAAUAAA